Molecule: long non-coding RNA, 3646 nt
Organism: Mytilus californianus (California mussel)
Lineage: Eukaryota; Metazoa; Mollusca; Bivalvia; Mytilida; Mytilidae
Exons: 9
Source: RefSeq, a predicted model, not a curated record
ACAUAAGUAGACUUAUUUAAACAUAUCCAUAUAAGGUAGUGUUCCCGACCUAUCUAAAAAUUGGUUUUCCACAAAAGGUGUCAUAUUUUUCUACUUUCUACUUUAACUUACAACUUAAAGAAGAUAAUCAUGGACGUUCUACUGAGGUUCAGCAUAUGUUUAAUGUUUUAUCAUUUACCAGCUGUGGAAUCUGUACAUAGAAAACUUCUGUUUCCAAGUAACCAGUCAAUUUUGGAAUUUGAUGUUGAUACGGCCAUUGUGACUGUGCUUGUUGGACAUGGAGGAAGUGUUGUGUAUUCUUUGGACUACGACUACGAAAACAGAAAUGUUUAUUUUCCAAGACAUUCAUUUUCGGAUAUUGUGCGAUUUCCAUAUCCCUCCAAGAACAUAACAUUACAACAUGUUGUGAAUUCAUCGACUCCAGCAGGUGUGGCUGUUGAUUCCGCAAAUGACCAUGUCUACUGGGUUAAUGGUUAGAUGACAAACUUUUUAGAUGCAAAACAGACGGAACAAACAUAGUUGUUGUAUCUACAGAUUUAAGCAACGCUUUUAUGAUACGACUAGAUCUUACAAACAGAUGGAUGUAUAUAGGAUACCCCAAUGCAGGAAUAUUCAAGUUCAGAUUCAAUUUAACUGAUACUCGUAAGAUUGCAAACUUUACCGUUUGGACUCACUGUAUGGAUAUAGACCUGACUGAACAAAGACUGUAUUGGAUUGACUUCUCUAAUGAAAUAAAAUCAGUUAAUGUGGAUGGUUCUGAUGUUAAAACAAUCUAUUCAAUGUAUUAUUUAAAAUACAACUGUGCUAUAGGUGUUUUGGGUAGUUAUAUAUACUAUGUUGAGGAUGCCACUAGGUUAGUUAUGAUGGAUAGAUCACAAGGACCCACACCGACUGUCCUUUAUACCGAUACCAGCACCAUUCAUAGCCUAUAUGUGUUUAAUUCAACAGGUAUGUUCACAACCUUAAAAUAAAAUUCUUGAAAUGACUAGAGAAGAACUUGUUUUCGUUAUGAUUUCUUUGAUAAUGUACUAAACUUAACUUGAAAAUAAGCAAAAGGAGGUUGAUACAUUAUCAUAGAAAAGGAAAACUUACUGACGUAAAGUAUUUGUUACUCAAAGAUGCAACACUCGUCCCUUAGUUGUAUCCAUUAUUAAUUGUAUGGAAUAAACGACAAGUACAAACAAAAUGCACGACAAAGCUAAUUGAAAAAAUGUUCCAAUCGCAAGUUAAGGUUUCAUAUGUAAUUUGAUUUUAUUAGACUGUAAAAUAAUUAAAUUAGUCUGAUAUAAAAUUAUGUAGUUUUUCUAUUCAUAUUUUGAGACAUGUUGAUAAGUGUUGUAUCUAUAGCUUUGGCUUACCUGUAUUCAUUUUAACUUUUUUGUUGUGAAUUGUUUGUUGCUUAGUUAUUGUAUGCAAUAUUAUCAACAGUUUUUCAAUCAUAUAAUUGUAUAUGCUUUUGUAUUAUCGACAACUCCUAUACAUUAAUUGAUAAAUUGUGUUUUCAUAUUCUUUUAACAUAUGCCGCCAAUGACAACUACUAUAUUUAUUUAAAAUCAUUAACUGUAUAUCUGCAUUUAACAUUCUCUAGCUAUUGAUAUAAAGACGGCUUCAAUUUUUGUUAACAUAAAACGCCAAUGAAAACUACUAGUACUGUACCUUUUUAAAAAGUAUAUGUCUGCAUUUCAUUACGUUUAUUUUAAGUAAUUUUGUUUACGAGUUUGACUUCAUAACAUUAGAAAAUCUAUUAUAUAGUUAAAAAAAUGUAUUGUUCUUGUAUUUUUGAUAACGAUUAGGAUUCAUUAAAACGGGAAAUAAAGAGUUUAAAAUGCGUUUAAAUGUUUUAAAAUCAAAUUCAAAUCAAAUGCAAACCAUUAGUCUUUUUGAGUAUUUUCUGAAAGGUUUUUUUUUUAUUUAUCGUUUCAGAAGUAUUUUUUUUUUCAAAGUAAGAACUAAAGAGAGCCCUAUAUAAAACAAAUAAAAAAAUUCACAUCAACAUAAUUAUUUAGUGAGAUAAAUAAUUGUAUUUUUUACAUAUUAACGUAUCUCAUUGAUGUAUGAAUGAGUUGGUUUGGUAGGACGCAACAGAAUCAAGAUGGACGAAUUGAGACCUAUGAUUGUAUUGAUAAUGACUGAAAAUUGUGUCUUUACCACUGUUGAUAUUGCCACUUAAAAUCUGGACUGUGUACAUGAGUUGUUAGUACGGAAGUAUUACAUAUACCAAGGUGGUUGACACGACAACAAGAUGAAGUCGGAAUGGUAAGCUAGUCGUUUAUGUCAAAAUGUCAGACAAUAUGAGUAUAACGUCACUUUGCAUAAUAAAUAUGCACAAACUGUUACAUAAGAGGGCAUAAGCUGCUAACCACAAACGUCAUGGUGUGUAGAAAAAUGAGUGAUGCUCAAAAUUUUUCAUUUGUGGAUACAAAGACAAACACUCAAAGUUUCACAGAAAAGAAAACAUAGGUCUCAAAUUAGUAGCCUACAAAAAAAAAGUGGAGUCCCUUUCUAAAAUACGAAUUCCAGAGUGAAGUAAAAAAAUAACGACGCGUUGUUUAUAAAAGGAAACAAGGACCUAAAAUAGAUGCAUUAAAUCUUUCAAAAUGUAUGUAUUGAUGCUACAUCUUAUGUGUCUUUAGUGUAUAUAUAAUGGUAAAAAUCACCUCGUUACUUAUAUUGACAAAAGCGAACUUUCAAUAAUAGAAAGGAAGGCAGAGAACUAAAAUAAAAGAAACAUUAAUUCAGUCUCAGAUGCUAAAUACAACAUUCGUUGUUCUGAAAAUUUGUGUCGGUUCGUUCAUAUUACUCCUAGUCUUUCGACGCAGCUGUAUAGCAAACUGCAGUACCAGAAGCAGCGGUUCGAACAAAUAUUUCUUCAAAAACAACCUAUAUUGUAAAAUAUAAUGCAAAAUUUUAAAAGUCCAUCAGGGUUCUACAACAACCUCAGGUACUUAACUUCUGUGAUUCAUAUAUAGUAAAUAUGCAGUCUCCAUUUAAUUCAGUCAAUCAUAUUGCUUCGUUGUCCGGUUAUUCUUAUAUCAACGAAAAUCAAUUGAUUUUGUGUUUGUUCGUUCAGAUUACUCCUAGUCUUUCGACGCAGCUGUAUAGCAAACUGCAGUACCAGAAGCAGCGGUUCGAACAAAUAUUUCUUCAAAAACAACCUAUAUUGUAAAAUAUGAUGCAACAUUUUAAAAGUCCAUCAGGGUUCUACAACAACCUCAGGAAAAACUCAUCUAAAACAGUAUUGAUACACCAGAAGACAGCAAAGGCUUAUGAAUUGAUACGAAAGAAGGACGUUUCGUCUACAUGAGAGUCAUUGGUGAUGCUCAAUCAAAACAACAUAAUGGCGAAAUCACAUACGAAACUGAGGAGCAAUUUAAUUCUUAAAAUCCAAAAAAUGUUGUGCUAAAUAUGGCUCCGGCCAUCAAUUCAUGGGCGAAGGAGGUUUCGAGUAAUAUAACAUUUCAUUAGAAUUAUUUGAAUAAGAUCAUAACAAUUUCAAUCCUGAUAUCCUGAAAAAUGAAUUAAAUAGCUAAAGUUAAGUUCCUGUAACUAACGAUUUUGAGAGUUUCAAUGAAAUAAUCACUUUUAAAUGAACAUAAUGAUACCAUUUAUUGAUGUUAAUAUUUAAUAAAGUAUACUUUGUAUAUAA